GACGAACGCUGGCGGCGUGCCUAAUACAUGCAAGUCGAACGCUUCUUUCCUCCCGAGUGCUUGCACUCAAUUGGAAAGAGGAGUGGCGGACGGAUGAGUAACACGUGGGUAACCUACCCAUCAGAGGGGGAUAACACUUGGAAACAGGUGCUAAUACCGCAUAACAGUUUAUGCCGCAUGGCAUAAGAGUGAAAGGCGCUUUCGGGUGUCGCUGAUGGAUGGACCCGCGGUGCAUUAGCUAGUUGGUGAGGUAACGGCUCACCAAGGCCACGAUGCAUAGCCGACCUGAGAGGGUGAUCGGCCACACUGGGACUGAGACACGGCCCAGACUCCUACGGGAGGCAGCAGUAGGGAAUCUUCGGCAAUGGACGAAAGUCUGACCGAGCAACGCCGCGUGAGUGAAGAAGGUGUUCGGAUCGUAAAACUCUGUUGUUAGAGAAGAACAAGGACGUUAGUAACUGAACGUCCCCUGACGGUAUCUAACCAGAAAGCCACGGCUAACUACGUG
RNAcentral lists this ribosomal RNA (508 nucleotides) under uncultured bacterium. Its description in RNAcentral is "partial 16S ribosomal RNA". It matches the Rfam family "Bacterial small subunit ribosomal RNA", at positions 28 to 507 of the family's 1533-position model. The record is from RNAcentral.